GACUGGUUAAUGACUAUUUCUCUAAAACACUGACUCUUCCAUUGCCCUGCAACUCCCACAUAACGUAUAAGGUCUAAAUCCCUAAUUUCUAUAGAUACUGUGGAGGAUUUAAAAUAAAACAACACAAUAUUUACUACCUUGAGUAACCAGAAAGUUGUAAGUGGACGCUAAAUUAAGCAGAAUUUUAAGAGAGAAUAAAAUAAUCCCAUUUUCUUUUAUAAACAGUCUACUAAUAAUUAAAGUGGAAUCUUCAAAAUUAUUUUACAUUUUUUUUGCCACAGGGAGUAACUCUUCACAAAAUAUGAUUCUACCUUAUAUACAAACAUUAGAAUUGAACAAAUAAGUUCUCAAGUGAUGAAAUCAUAUUUGGAAUUUGUUAAACAUAUUAAUACCAUGUAAUCAAAACUUUGAAAUUUCAAUUUUUAACCAAAAAUGACAGAAACUAAACUUUCUAAUCUAAAAACAUUUCAAGAAAAAGGAUAUUCUU
RNAcentral lists this long non-coding RNA (487 nucleotides) under Homo sapiens (human). RNAcentral's name for it is "non-protein coding lnc-BVES-1:1". The record is from RNAcentral. Lineage: Eukaryota; Metazoa; Chordata; Mammalia; Primates; Hominidae.